Cuculus canorus (common cuckoo) is the source of this 2879-nucleotide long non-coding RNA. RefSeq lists it as uncharacterized. The transcript has 2 exons. Lineage: Eukaryota; Metazoa; Chordata; Aves; Cuculiformes; Cuculidae. The record is from RefSeq and is a predicted model, not a curated record.
GUGUGAGCCAGGCUGCAGGAACCUUCUCUGCUAGUCUUAAACACAAAAUUUUACAAAUAUAGAAUGUUACACCGUAAGAUAAAAACCCAACUAAAACGAGGGCUCUCUCUAGGCCAAGACUGCUAUUUUAAAAGUAAGUGCAAUAAGUACAGGAACUAAAAUAAGUCACUGGUGAAUACAAAAAAAGACAGAAUAAACAUUGCUUGAGUGUCAGUGAACCAUGAGCUUUUGUUUCGCUAGUUACACGUGAUGAGAAAUGAAUACCAUCUUAUAUGGUAUAUUUGCAUUUAAAUGGGUGCGUUCUGUGAAAAUGAUUAUUGUACAUAUUUGGUUACACAUACAGUGUAACGUUUAUUUAAAGGCUCUCACAAAAAUACACUUCAGUUGCCCGAGAAUGGUGUAAUUGUGGUCAGAUGGCAUGAUUUAAUUUGAACGUUUGCCCAGCAGUCUCCAAUAUGUAAUAGAUCAUUUACAGGAGCGUGUAAGCAGAACACCGCGGAGGAGCCAAAUGGAAAGCAGCCUUAUCCCACACGCUGAAGGUGUAAUAAAAUACUGACUCUGUACUUGGCUGGCAAGGGCAGCUGUAGCCGUAUAAUAUCCUCAGUAAGUAUGGUGAGAGCUGGGCAGAACUUCAGAGCUACUGCUCUCCAGAUGGCUCAGAACAAUACUGAGUUCAGGAAUACAUAUUUCCAUGUAAGACUGCUUGCUGCCGGCUGUCAGGCAUUGCUGCCACUUCCAAAGAAAACACUGGGAAAUUUCCUCCCCACCCCACCAGUUACUACCUGAUUCUGAGUCAUUCAGUCAGCAGCUGUAUUUAUCAAGCUAUUUGGCAUUGUAAACUAGCAAUUUCUCCUUCCUAGGAUGAAUUUCAGUGAAGAAACCUAACACAACUGAGAAAGAGUUAAAAACAUAAAUUUGGCAACUGAUAAACAUAAAUCCAAUUAAAUACUCUUCUCCCGAGUAUCUUCCGUUGCCUCCCUACCAGACAUUAAUUCACAUUUUCACAUUAUUUUCCUCCAUGAAGAUUUAGUCCAGGCUUCCCCAUAAACCAGUAUUUUCACUGUGAAUUGUUCUUUAAAUUGUAGAUCCAAACCUCCUCCGUGCUGUGAAAGCAGAGCUGAUUCUUCGAUAUCAUUAUAAAGAAAACCUGAACGUGUUUUAGUACACAAGGGGUCCUGUUCAAACUGAACACUACUCCAGUCAAGGGCCUGAACUUGUCCAAAAACUGCACCAAGCGCAGACAGGGCAGCAAGAGCGAUGGAGAGGAGAGACAUCAGUGACAGCUUUAAACCAGGACUCUGGGGAUCAGGUCUGUUAAACAACACUUGAACACUUUCUCCCUUGCUACUCUCCACCUCGAGUCUCCUCAUGCAACACACACGGAUACACGUGACUGUAUGUCACAAGAGUUCAGCUGGACUGAGGCAAGACAUAAAAAUCAAGCAGUCAGAGAAAUGAAAUCAAUUUUCGUAUCCUAAAUAUUACAGCUCUGGAGAAAACAGCUGCAGCCAAUGAGAGGCACCAAGAAAAACAUGGUUUCUAAAGAGACCAGAGAAAUUUUGUGAACACAGGUAGAUUUGUACCAUGCUGUAAAUCUAAAUAUGUAUUUUCUGUUUAUGCAGGUCCAGUUUCUUCCAGAGAUAGAAAAGAAAUGCUGAGCACACAGACCUGCUUUUUCAAGCCUUUUCAACAGGUGGAAAAGCCUGAAAGAUGGAAAGAAAUGCGGUCUCAAGAAAGACACACGGUCCUUCAAAACUCACAUAGCACGAAAUAGCCUGGGCAACUCAUUUAAACUUCUUGGGAAACCAGAAGAACAAUUAAGCUGGGAGUAACUCCCUUGAAACACAGAAGAUGCAGCACACUUAGCUAACUGUAUCUGAACAGCUCAUCAAACGGGGUAUUAAAGAAAGAUAACCUUUGAUUUCAUGCUAACAUAGUCAAUAUUCUUUGAAUCAUCCCAUGAGUGAAUAAUAAUGAAUAAUAAUUAAAAAAAACCAAAACCAAACCCUAGCACAAUAAAGGGCAGUGUUAAAGGCAAAGUGAAACGAAGUUUGGCCUGGUUAACAGGCUCACAUUUGCACAUUCGUUUUACCACAACUCAGCAUCACCAGCGGUGAACGGGCUGGAUGACACGGCUCAACAGCCUCCUCGCUUUAAAUUCAGCAUAGUUACAAUCGACUUUUUUGACCGAAAUACCAUUUGAUGGCCAUUCAAUGACAGUUUCUGCAUGUGAGGUCCUUUCACUCUUUUGACAACUGAUUGGGGCUGCUACAGCCUCUCCCGCUCUCUCCGCUACCAAACCAGAGUUUUGCUGCCUUUUAUGAAAGCCAUCAAUAAGCAAAGGAAAGAGAUAAAGAAAUAAAUGCAAGCAUUUCAUGCCCUCAAUUAGACAACUGAAUUAGGGAAGUCACAGCAGGCUCAGAGAGUUUUUCGGUAUAAUCUUUUUAAAAAUGAUUUGUAUGAGCAAAUGCAAAUAUUUACCCUCAAUCUAGUUCUGAACGCGUCAGCAGGGUGUUUCAAAGGGAAGGCGAUUGCUUCACUCUGCUGAGGAGGUUCCAGCAAUCGCUGCCUAACCUGGACCAGCUCGCUCUGGCCAGGGGCGACAGGCCAGCAGGAAUCCCUCCUGGGGAUUUUGCUCUGUUGCGCUCCCACUGCCACACACCACUUAUUGCUGCAACCCGGAGAAGGCUGAGGGCAGUACUUACUGUUGUUUUCUUCUUCCAAAAAAGAUAAAAAAAUACAAAUUUACAGAAAAAAACCCAACUCGAAUCUUAAGUCUCAGAAGAGCAUUUUCAAUUACCUUAUCUAUAAUUACAUUCAGUCUUUCAACUGCUGAUUACAAAGUAUUUUUGAACUGCAUGCUUCAAAGAGAACUGAAU